RNAcentral lists this ribosomal RNA (451 nucleotides) under uncultured bacterium. RNAcentral describes it as "partial 16S ribosomal RNA". It matches the Rfam family "Bacterial small subunit ribosomal RNA", at positions 28 to 507 of the family's 1533-position model. The record is from RNAcentral.
AGCGAACGCUGGCGGCAUGCCUAACACAUGCAAGUCGCACGGGGGGGCUUCGGCCUCCCAGUGGCGGACGGGUGAGGAACGCGUAGGGACCUGUCGAGGGGUGGGGGAUAACCGCGGGAAACUGCGGCUAAUACCGCAUGACGCCGCGGCGUGACAGCCGGGGCCAAAGGCGAAAGCCGCCCGCCGAGGGGCCUGCGUCCGAUUAGCUGGUUGGCGGGGUAGCGGCCCACCAAGGCGUCGAUCGGUAGCUGGUCUGAGAGGGUGAUCAGCCACACCGGGACUGAGGCACGGCCCGGACUCCUACGGGAGGCAGCAGUGGGGAAUAUUGGACAAUGGGCGCAAGCCUGAUCCAGCAAUGCCGCGUGGGUGAAGAAGGUCUUCGGAUUGUAAAGCCCUUUCGGCGGGGACGAUGGUGACGGUACCCGCAGAAGAAGCCCCGGCUAACUUCGUG